CAAGAGUUUGUUUUUAAAAUAAGUUUGUUUUUAGUUAGUUAUUUAAUGCUCUAAAAACGGUGGUGUGAUGUCGUGAUUCACAGCUGUGAUUGACAGCUAUCUGAGCCGAGGAGCCACUGAAUCUUCGGAGGACUGAGGAGAUUGGAACUUUACAUUUAAUCUCUAAAUUUCUAUAAUUUCACACGGACAUAAUGGGUUGUUCUGCAGUACAUUGUGCUAACCGAUCUGGCAUUUCCAAUCGAUCUUUGAAUUUUUUUCGGUAAGGUCUACAAAACAUCAACCAGGGAGUAUAAAGCAGAAACAUCAACCACCUGUGCAACCUGAAGGAGAACGCAUUUCCUUGACAACCACUGCCUGACAGGCAUGUUGCCUACCACAGGAAGUCAUUUGAGUGCAAGACAAGCCAACUCUUUCCAACACAAACCCCACCACCACUGGAUGGUGCUUAGUCAAUUAGAAUCACCAUAUUGAAAUUUUAGACACAGAAAACUGGAAAUAAAUCAAAUAUUUCUACUGUUUUGAAUGUUGCCAAUGUUCCCAUUUAGGAAACCUGUUUUCAUUUGCCAUUUAUUGUGAAUUGGAGCAAACCUGCAUAACUAACUAAGCCCUGUGAGAUCUGUUGACCAAUCACAUUGCUUUCUUUGUGUCUGGAAUUCCCCCACCCAGUCUUCCUUUAAAAUGUCAUUCAAACAAAUAGACUGACGAGGUUACAGACGAGGUUACCGCAAAGGUUCUCGAAUUUUACCUGGGUCAGUUACCAGAAGACAAUGAGCUGCAGGACCCAGGACUUGCAUCUGCCACUCCCCUCAGGGAUCAGUGGGACGGCGCCACUGCCUCCAUUUAACAGGCUUGUUUUGAUGGAAUAUCCUGUCAGGCUUGGGUUCCACCAUGCCAUUUUAAGAAUGCGGAUAGACGUGUAUGCGUGGGUUUGCACUCUGGUCACAUGAUAUCCUCCCAUUGAAAUUGUGGAGCUCCUCCAAGAUCCCUAUAUUUAAAAUGAACAAUGUGACUUCACCCUGUCUCGGAUGUCACCACCACAAUCCUUUGUCAAAAUGAGGUUCAAGUGUUCAACAGGUUGUUUGGUUUGUGGUGGGGG
Molecule: long non-coding RNA, 1096 nt
Organism: Esox lucius (northern pike)
Lineage: Eukaryota; Metazoa; Chordata; Actinopteri; Esociformes; Esocidae
Source: Ensembl